Molecule: signal recognition particle RNA, 298 nt
Filed under: Aotus nancymaae (Ma's night monkey)
Lineage: Eukaryota; Metazoa; Chordata; Mammalia; Primates; Aotidae
Description: Metazoan signal recognition particle RNA (ENSANAG00000011313.1)
Rfam family: Metazoan signal recognition particle RNA
About the family: The signal recognition particle (SRP) is a universally conserved ribonucleoprotein. It is involved in the co-translational targeting of proteins to membranes.
Source: RNAcentral
GCCAGGUGCAGUGGUGCAUGCCUGUAGUCUCAGCUACUCAGAAGGCUGAGGCAGGAAGAUCGCUUGAGCCCAGAAGUUCUGGGCUGUAGUAUGCUAUGCCCAUUGGGUGUCCACACUAAAUUCAGCAUGAAUAUGGUGACCUCCCAGGAGUGAGGGACCACCAGGUUGCCUAACGAGGGGUGAACUGGCCCAGGUUGGAAACAGCAGGUCAAAACUCCCAUGCUGAUCAGUAGUAGGAUCACAUCUGUGAAAAGUCAAUGUGCUCUAGCCUGGGCAACUCAGUGAGCCCCCUGUCACU